Molecule: unclassified non-coding RNA, 240 nt
Filed under: Cortinarius sp.
Lineage: Eukaryota; Fungi; Basidiomycota; Agaricomycetes; Agaricales; Cortinariaceae
Also listed under: 2 other names
Description: partial contains 5.8S ribosomal RNA, internal transcribed spacer 2, and large subunit ribosomal RNA
Rfam family: 5.8S ribosomal RNA (bases 1-52)
Source: RNAcentral
AACGCACAUUGCGCCCUCUGGUAUUCCGGAGGGCAUGCCUGUUCGAGCGUCAUUACACCACUCAAGCCUCGCUUGGUGUUGGGCGCCGCGGUCAAACGCGCGCCCCAAUAUCACCGGCCGGUCACCCGAUCUCCGAGCGCAGAAGCACAAAACUUUCGCUCGAGGGCAAGGGGAAUCGCGCCGUUAAAACCUCCAUCAAAGGUUGACCUCGGAUCAGGUAGGGAUACCCGCUGAACUUAA